UGGCUCAGUUGGGAGAGCAUGGGACUCUUGAUCUCAGGAUCGUGAGUUUGAGUCCCAC
Molecule: transfer RNA, 58 nt
Filed under: Ailuropoda melanoleuca (giant panda)
Lineage: Eukaryota; Metazoa; Chordata; Mammalia; Carnivora; Ursidae
Rfam family: tRNA
About the family: Transfer RNA (tRNA) molecules are approximately 80 nucleotides in length. Their secondary structure includes four short double-helical elements and three loops (D, anti-codon, and T loops). Further hydrogen bonds mediate the characteristic L-shaped molecular structure. tRNAs have two regions of fundamental functional importance: the anti-codon, which is responsible for specific mRNA codon recognition, and the 3' end, to which the tRNAs corresponding amino acid is attached (by aminoacyl-tRNA synthetases). tRNAs cope with the degeneracy of the genetic code in two manners: having more than one tRNA (with a specific anti-codon) for a particular amino acid; and 'wobble' base-pairing, i.e. permitting non-standard base-pairing at the 3rd anti-codon position.
Source: Rfam by way of RNAcentral